UUUCUCUUCCUGUGUUCAUUACUAAUCGAACUGAAGCCUUUUAAGGCAACAAGGCGUUGUUCUAACGUACUGCUCAGAAAGAUUGAACAUCUAUUGUUUGUAUAUAUUUGAUCCUUGUCCAGUCAAUUAGAUAAUUGUCCAGUCAAUGUGAACCUUGUCCAGUUAAUUAGAUAAUUGUCCAGUCAAUGUGAACCUUAUGCAGUCUAGUUGCUAUAUAUUUAAGUUAGAACAUCUCUUAUUGAUAUAUAUUUGACAUUUGAUCCAUGAACAGUGAUUAUCAACAGAUAGUUUUUACAUACAAAAUACCAGAACACCAAUAGUAAACCCAGAGAGGAAUGAAAAUCCAAUACCAGAACACCAAUAGUAAACAAGAGAGGAAUGAAAUAAUUGUACAUUUUACCUUUAUUGUCUGCGGAAGUGCAAAUGAUUGUCUUGUGUUUGAUGGAAAAAAUCACACCCUGUUUGUAGAAUACCUCAUUUAGGUUAUAAUGGAAAAUUGGAAUAAGAAACUUUUCACAGCUGCUCAGGAUGGAAAUGUAAACGAUGUGAAAAUAUGCCUACAGAAUAAAGCAGACAUUGAUUAUCAAGGAGUAAGU
Molecule: long non-coding RNA, 596 nt
Organism: Mytilus trossulus (common blue mussel)
Lineage: Eukaryota; Metazoa; Mollusca; Bivalvia; Mytilida; Mytilidae
Exons: 6
Source: RefSeq, a predicted model, not a curated record